GACGAACGCUGGCGGCGUGCUUAACACAUGCAAGUCGAACGGAAAGGCCCUGCUUUUGUGGGGUGCUCGAGUGGCGAACGGGUGAGUAACACGUGAGUAACCUGCCCUUGACUUUGGGAUAACUUCAGGAAACUGGGGCUAAUACCGGAUAGGAGCUCCUGCUGCAUGGUGGGGGUUGGAAAGUUUCGGCGGUUGGGGAUGGACUCGCGGCUUAUCAGCUUGUUGGUGGGGUAGUGGCUUACCAAGGCUUUGACGGGUAGCCGGCCUGAGAGGGUGACCGGCCACAUUGGGACUGAGAUGCGGCCCAGCCUCCUACGGGAGGCAGGAGUGGGGAAUAGUGCAAAGUGGGCGGGAGCCUGAUGCAGCAACGCCGCGUGCGGGAUGGGGGCCUUCGGGGUGUAAACCGCUUUCGCCUGGGACGAAGCGUGAGUGACGGUAAUGGGUAAAGAAGCACCGGCUAACUACG
RNAcentral lists this ribosomal RNA (466 nucleotides) under uncultured bacterium. Its description in RNAcentral is "partial 16S ribosomal RNA". It matches the Rfam family "Bacterial small subunit ribosomal RNA", at positions 28 to 505 of the family's 1533-position model. The record is from RNAcentral.